Long non-coding RNA from Neodiprion virginianus, 269 nucleotides. RefSeq lists it as uncharacterized. NCBI's taxonomy places the organism in Eukaryota, Metazoa, Arthropoda, Insecta, Hymenoptera, Diprionidae. The record is from RefSeq and is a predicted model, not a curated record. The transcript is spliced from 3 exons.
GAAAAGACACCCAUGAUUUUUUAUUCAAUGCCUUGAAACGCUGCCUCAGUAAUUCCGUUGCCAAAGAGUAUAGUAUGGAUGGCAAAAAAAAAAGAAACCGCUGAGACCGACAUAUUUUUUGAGAACCAUCCUCAAAGCUGCAAAGAUGCAUAGGGCUGAAUCUGAUGAAGAUCUCGCCAUAAAAAUUAUAAGCUCCUGGCUCGCUGGAGCCAAAUUGAGAUUCGACAGAGAAACCGCCAAACUGGGAGUGAUUGAACCAGAACAAGAAC